This 462-nucleotide ribosomal RNA is filed under the name Triticum aestivum (bread wheat). Its description in RNAcentral is "partial small subunit ribosomal RNA". Lineage: Eukaryota; Viridiplantae; Streptophyta; Magnoliopsida; Poales; Poaceae. The record is from RNAcentral.
AUGUUUGUCGUGAGUUGUUCUUAUGUGCACAUGUUAGAUGUCGUUGCCUCACGGUGUCGUUUGCCCUUUCAUUCGUACUUACGAGAGGUCAUGGAUGAUGGGGUCGUAAUCGGAGGGGUGGAAAUAGAGGUCCAUGUCCUUGGAAGCGAUGCCUUGACUGUGAGGAGGUUUUUCUGGUCCCAGGACGGUGUGGGGUAUCUUUCUCUUUACAAUGAUGCUGCUUUCCAGGCCAUUUGUUUUUUACAGGGUUUGUAUGGGUUUGUUGUCUUAGAUUACAACUACCAUGGUAUGAUGACCUAUCGAGAGCUUGCACGCUCCGCCGUUGUUUUAGCAGCCUCGCUGGUUCGAUCUUCGGGUUCUGUUGUUGGUGGUGAUGCAUCUGCUGCUGUGGGUGACGUCAAUGAUGCUUCACGGCAGCAGAUGCUACAUGCUAGGUUGGUGUCUACAGCCUGCAGCUUCUAG